GCUGGGCAUGGUGGUGCGUGCCUGUGGUCCCAACUGCUUGGGAGGCUGAGGUGGGUGGAUUGCUUGAGCCCAGGAGUCUGAGGCUGCAGUGAGUCAUGAUGACAUCACUUCACUCCAGCCUGGAUAACAGAGCAAGACCCUGUCUCUU
RNAcentral lists this signal recognition particle RNA (148 nucleotides) under Gorilla gorilla gorilla (western lowland gorilla). Its description in RNAcentral is "Metazoan signal recognition particle RNA". It matches the Rfam family "Metazoan signal recognition particle RNA". Rfam says of the family: The signal recognition particle (SRP) is a universally conserved ribonucleoprotein. It is involved in the co-translational targeting of proteins to membranes. The eukaryotic SRP consists of a 300-nucleotide 7S RNA and six proteins: SRPs 72, 68, 54, 19, 14, and 9. Lineage: Eukaryota; Metazoa; Chordata; Mammalia; Primates; Hominidae. The record is from Rfam by way of RNAcentral.